Homo sapiens (human) is the source of this 1242-nucleotide long non-coding RNA. Ensembl annotates it as long intergenic non-protein coding RNA 2492. The record is from Ensembl. Lineage: Eukaryota; Metazoa; Chordata; Mammalia; Primates; Hominidae.
ACUGGUUGGAUGUCAGGAGCAGGCCAUGUGGAUGAUUAAAAGAUGAAUAUCAUAUACAGCAUGGAUAUGUUGGACAAAAAGAUGAUUCACAUCCCAGACAGAAUGGAGCAGCACAUUUAUUAAAAGCCAGAAGCUAGAAGACGAGGAAAGAAGAGGUGGUUAAAGAAAGAUACAGUAACAGCAGUAAUAUCUAACAGGAAGGCUACAGGGGAAAAUACAGAAAUUCCAUAAAGAACAAACACUGUAACUCAAAACCAAAGCUUUGCUAGUCACUAGUGCCCGCUACAUCCUAACAGAUGCAGCUGGAGAGCCUGGGGUGAGAACAUGAGCAGUCUAUAAUCAGAAAAUCCCUUUGGGAUAAAUUGACAAAAAUAUAAACCACUCCACAAAGGAGAAAUUGUAAAUGUUGUUCUUCCAGAUGGCAUGAAUCCAACAGUGAAGAAAUCAGAAUACGUUGCUUUUGUGAGGGGCAGCUGCUGAUUUUCUCUGAGCUCCGUUUCCAGCCUUCACAUGCUCUGCUAUUCAUCACAGGGUAAAUUCUGACUAUAGGAGGUACUGACAGAAGAUUAGGGAAGAACAGAGGGCUAAAUGUUUAUUGACUUCUUGAAAAAUGCUAUGUGUCUUGCCAGACUUAGCUUACAAGUUUGGUUAAAGAGAGACUGACAUGAGCAUAAAGGAAGGGACAUUGAAAGAGGCAGAGAUGAAGGAAGAAAUUGUAACUUACUCCUUUUAUCCCACCCAUCAAAGGAAAGACAAGUUGACAAUACUGAGUGAAGAAAUUUGUUGGAUUCCAAGUAUUUUUCCUUAAAGGAAAUAUUUCAAUGAGCAGAAUAAAUUUCCCAGGGUGGAUGGAUCCAGGCAGGACAGGAUCAGAAGUUGCAGUCUUAAUUGCACCAACUCACGCAUGUCACCAGCCGAGUAGUAUUGAUUCUGCAACAAACUGAGAAGAAACCUGGCGAUUCACAACAGAGAGCUGAGAAAUCCUAAGUCUGGAUUCCAGCUAAAUGGGAGCAGACUAAAUAGAGCGGCAGUCGGCGAACUACAUGUAGCCCAUGAACAAAAUCCGGUCCAGCACGUGUGUUUUUUUUUACGGCCCACAAAUGAGUCUGUCUUUACAGAUGAAUGUUAAAACUGGGUUGACAAGAGAGAACACUCACUUUGAACCGCAACUAAACAAAAUAUUAUCACCUUUCCCCUCAAAAAAGGUUUUUGUUCUUCUCAUUAGUAAAUUUGUAUUAUGAC